UUUACAAUGGAGAGUUUGAUCCUGGCUCAGGAUGAACGCUAGCUACAGGCUUAACACAUGCAAGUCGAGGGGAAACGACAUCGAAAGCUUGCUUUUGAUGGGCGUCGACCGGCGCACGGGUGAGUAACGCGUAUCCAACCUGCCCAUCACUUGGGGAUAACCUUGCGAAAGUAAGACUAAUACCCAAUGA
Molecule: ribosomal RNA, 190 nt
Filed under: Segatella copri
Lineage: Bacteria; Pseudomonadati; Bacteroidota; Bacteroidia; Bacteroidales; Prevotellaceae
Description: partial 16S ribosomal RNA
Rfam family: Bacterial small subunit ribosomal RNA
Source: RNAcentral